UCAUCUUGUUUCUAUGAUCGAAUCCCCCACCGGCGACAAUGGCGAAGGCCCCAAGGACGGGAGGAGCAACGCUUCCCACCCGCGGCCUCCCGGAGGAGAUCAUCUUCUGGGAAAUCCUCACCCGCCUUCCCCCAAGAUCCCUACUCCGCUGCCGCGCCGUCUGCCGCGACUGGCGCCGCGGCACCUCCAGCCGGGAUUUCCUCCUCGUCCACCACGGCCGGCAGCCCAGACUCCCCGUCGUCUGCAGCUCCGGAUACGGCGACGACCGCCACCAAUACUUCUUCGCCUUCGAUCACCGAGCUGCCGACGCCCGGCUCCAACCCGUUGCCCAUCUUGAAGAUUCUUCCUGUCUGGAGGCCUGCUGCGACGGCCUCCUCAUCCUCUCCAACCACGGCGCGACAGGCACCUGCUACUCCGUCUCUAAUAUGGCCACGCGUCAGCAUGCUCCCCUCCUGCAACUGUCGGACUUCGAUUUAUUGGGCAUGUACCUGCACCGCGCUACCGACGAGUACCGGCUGUUACUGCAACGGACUCUCACCGAUCCGCUACAUGAAGGUCAAGUUGGCUGCUACAUCUUCGCAUUGGGCUCCGACCAGCCGCCGAGGUACAUCGGGGGGCCAGUGGCUGCUGAAUCAACCUACUUGCACACACCUGCCUUGGUCCGUGAUAGCCUGCAUUGGUUCCCAGUGCAUCGUCAGAGUGACCCACAGCAAUAUCACGCUGGAAGCGAAGUGGUAAUAGUAUUUGACACCACAUCCGAGUCGUUCCGGGAGAUGCGUGCUCCAGAUGUUCCUGGAAGGUCAUGUAUCUUUGAGAUGGAUGCCACGCUUGGCAUCUAUAGCUUGGACAAGGCCAUGAAAACUGUUUACAUAUGGGUGUUGCAGAACUACGAAAGCGAGGUCUGGGAGCGGGAGUACAUCAUCAAAUUGCCGGCCGCAGAAAUCGAGAGGCGGUUUCGAUGGUUGGAUCACAAUUGGACUGCCAGCGUUGUGUCGGUGGAAGGUGAAGUCCUCUUGCUGGUCAGUCAUGGCGAGUGGCUUUUUUAUAUCAACAUUGAUGGCAAACUGGUUGACAACUUCCAUCGUGAUGGCCAGCACAUCUAUGCUUGGGACCUUCGGCUCAAGCAAACUCUUGUUCGACAUAAUUUCUUCGUGGCACUUGAAGGUUAUGCUGUGAAUGCUUUGCCUUUUGUCUGACGGUUGCUAAUGAGGUGGUUAUUCUCAAUGACCUAGCUGUAUCAUGGAUCAAGUAGUUGCUCAGCUGCUCGAACUUUGGCUGCCUGGUGUCAGCUGGGUGUUACUGAC
Molecule: RNA transcript, 1304 nt
Organism: Lolium rigidum
Lineage: Eukaryota; Viridiplantae; Streptophyta; Magnoliopsida; Poales; Poaceae
Exons: 2
Source: RefSeq, a predicted model, not a curated record